GGUGGUGUAGCUCAGCUGGUAGAGCGGGGGUCUCAUAAGCCCCGUGUCGGCGGUUCGAGUCCGCCCGCCACCA
This 73-nucleotide transfer RNA is filed under the name bacterium. RNAcentral describes it as "tRNA-Met". It matches the Rfam family "tRNA". Rfam says of the family: Transfer RNA (tRNA) molecules are approximately 80 nucleotides in length. Their secondary structure includes four short double-helical elements and three loops (D, anti-codon, and T loops). The record is from RNAcentral. RNAcentral also lists the same sequence under 3 other names.